AGGUAAUAUCUGCCAACAGUUGCUGCCAGAUAUUACAUGUCCCACAUUUAUAAUUCAUGGUGAGAAAGACCCUUUGGUUCCACAAGCUCACGCAGAAUACAUUCAUAAGCACAUCAAAGGCUCUCGGUUGCUUCUGAUGCCAGAAGGAAAGCAUAAUCUACACCUGCGUUUUGCAGAGGAUUUCAACAGACAAGUGGAAGAUUUCCUACACAGACUGUAAAAAAGUUAGGGGUGUUUGUCCUUGCCUUGUUUAGGAAUUUUAGUUGACUUUCCAUUUUCAUUCAAGUUACAGGUAGGUUUGAGUCCUGUAAGAAAAAAACAUGAGAGAUAUUUGCAUGAGAAGCAUACCUUUUGAAAAUAUGUAAGCCUCAGUGGAUCAGAGCACACCACUGUGCUGCAAGAUUUCUGAAGUAUCUUUAAACUCACUUCUUGCCACACAGGCCAAAUACCUGUUCUGAGUGCAAUAGAGGUGUUAAGAAAGACAGAAAACAUGAUGUAGAAUACAUGCCUUUAUGUGCUCUUACCAUUAAAGGACAAAAA
This is a non-coding RNA of Pelecanus crispus (Dalmatian pelican), 540 nucleotides long. The record is from RefSeq and is a predicted model, not a curated record. Lineage: Eukaryota; Metazoa; Chordata; Aves; Pelecaniformes; Pelecanidae.